GACGAACGCUGGCGGCGUGCUUAACACAUGCAAGUCGAACGGAAAGGCCCUGCUUUUGUGGGGUGCUCGAGUGGCGAACGGAUGAGUAACACGUGAGUAACCUGCCCUUGACUUUGGGAUAACUUCAGGAAACUGGGGCUAAUACCGGAUAGGAGCUCCUGCUGCAUGGUGGGGGUUGGAAAGUUUCGGCGGUUGGGGAUGGACUCGCGGCUUAUCAGCUUGUUGGUGGGGUAGUGGCUUACCAAGGCUUUGACGGGUAGCCGGCCUGAGAGGGUGACCGGCCACAUUGGGACUGAGAUACGGCCCAGACUCCUACGGGAGGCAGCAGUGGGGAAUAUUGUACAAUGGGCGGAAGCCUGAUGCAGCAACGCCGCGUGCGGGAUGACGGCCUUCGGGUUGUAAACCGCUUUCGCCUGUGACGAAGCGUGAGUGACGGUAAUGGGUAAAGAAGCACCGGCUAACUACGUG
This 468-nucleotide ribosomal RNA is filed under the name uncultured bacterium. RNAcentral describes it as "partial 16S ribosomal RNA". It matches the Rfam family "Bacterial small subunit ribosomal RNA", at positions 28 to 507 of the family's 1533-position model. The record is from RNAcentral.